UGGGCGGGACAACUCGUAGGACUG
This 24-nucleotide non-coding RNA is filed under the name Cricetulus griseus (Chinese hamster). Lineage: Eukaryota; Metazoa; Chordata; Mammalia; Rodentia; Cricetidae. The record is from RNAcentral.